AUGCAGAUCAAAACUACAAUGAUCCACUACAGAUACAAGAAGUCCUCGUGCUUUCUGUCUGUCUGGUUGUGGCAGCCAAGAUUGAAUGGGGGAAUACAGGA
Molecule: small nucleolar RNA, 101 nt
Filed under: Dasypus novemcinctus (nine-banded armadillo)
Lineage: Eukaryota; Metazoa; Chordata; Mammalia; Cingulata; Dasypodidae
Description: Small nucleolar RNA SNORA31 (ENSDNOG00000046992.1)
Source: RNAcentral